UGGGGAAUUUUGGACAAUGGGCGAAAGCCUGAUCCAGCAAUGCCGCGUGUGUGAAGAAGGCCUUCGGGUUGUAAAGCACUUUUGUCCGGAAAGAAAUCCUUGGCUCUAAUACAGUCGGGGGAUGACGGUACCGGAAGAAUAAGCACCGGCUAACUACGUGCCAGCAGCCGCGGUAAUACGUAGGGUGCAAGCGUUAAUCGGAAUUACUGGGCGUAAAGCGUGCGCAGGCGGUUUGCUAAGACCGAUGUGAAAUCCCCGGGCUCAACCUGGGAACUGCAUUGGUGACUGGCAGGCUAGAGUAUGGCAGAGGGGGGUAGAAUUCCACGUGUAGCAGUGAAAUGCGUAGAGAUGUGGAGGAAUACCGAUGGCGAAGGCAGCCCCCUGGGCCAAUACUGACGCUCAUGCACGAAAGCGUGGGGAGCAAACAGGAUUAGAUACCCUGGUAGUCCACGCCCUAAACGAUGUCAACUAGUUGUUGGGGAUUCAUUUCCUUAGUAACGUAGCUAACGCGUGAAGUUGACCGCCUGGGGAGUACGUCGCAAGAUUAAAACUUAAAUGAAUUGACGGGGUCAUAGCUGUUUCCU
Molecule: ribosomal RNA, 584 nt
Filed under: uncultured bacterium
Lineage: Bacteria
Description: partial 16S ribosomal RNA
Rfam family: Bacterial small subunit ribosomal RNA
Source: RNAcentral